GGAAAAUCAAAUUCCAUUUUUCAUAAUUGACAGACUCCUUAGGUUAAUGUGCAUGACUGAUAGUCCUGAUGAGCCCAAAAUCGGCAGGCUAUGGCUUUAGCUCUCAACUUCUUCAAUCCUGAAUGGCUGGCAGGUAAACCAGUGUCCAGAGCAGAGUUCAAUGGAUUGAUAUUUUCACUCCAGCAAGGAGAGUGCCUUCAUCCCCUUGAUGUUUUCAGGCAAAGUCUACUCCAUGCAGGGCCCCAACUGGAUACCAAUUACAGACAUGGGUUUCCAAGGAGGGUAUGUAAUAAGCUAAUCCCUGGGUUUUUGAAAGGGUGGUUGCGUGAUACGCUUUUCCCUGGGUAUCUGAAGCGACGUUUACAUGUCAAUUAUUGAAGUUUUGAUGAUUCAUUCAGAGAGAAAUGUAGAGAGAAAUAGGAAGGAAAGAAGAUUUUAUUUCAGAAUGAAUGAAUGAGCUGCUUAGUACAAGAUAACACUUUAUAUAGUGUCUUAACCAAUACAAGAGGGUUUAAUAACCGCUUUCUAACUAACUAAUAGCUAACAUUCUUUAAACAAACUUUGUUGACUCCUGGGGCUGCUGGACAUAUCAGCAUGGUGAUGAUUGAUAGAAUGGUGAUCAUGAUGAUCAUGAUCACCAACACCGAUAGAGCUCCAAACAGAAUUUCAAGCCAUGGACAAAUCAUAAACAGGGUCACGCAGCUCAGAGAGGGAGGAGUAAAAUUCAUAAAGCGAAACACCAACUGUUUCUGGGACAUCAGGUUCAAAAAUGGCAUACUUGAAAUUCCUACAAUUUGGAUUCAAGAUAGUACAAUGACCAUCCUCCUGAACUGUAUCUGCCUAUGAGCACUGCCAUCUAAAGAUAAAUGAUGCUAGAAUUGCAUCAUAUGAAGUCUUUAUGGAAUGCUUGAUAAAAUCCCCAGAAGAUGUGGACCACCUUCAUCAAUGUGGAAUCAUUCAGCAUCUCCUUGGACAUGAUGGCGAAGUUGUUGACAUGUUCAAGAGCAUAUCUAAAGAGAUAGUAGUGGAUGCACAAAGUGGUUACUAUUCAAACCUAUCUGAGCAAGUGAAUGCAUACUGCAACCAGAGAAGAAAUAGAUGGCGUGCAAGCCUGCUUCACAACUAUUUUAAUAAUCCUAGGGCUAUCAUCUCACUGAUAGCUGCUUUCAUACUAUUAAUACUUUCCCAUACAGAGUUUUUAUACAGUUCUUCUUACUACAGGCCAAAUUCUUAAUCUAAUAAACCAAAAUCCUGAUUUUUA
Molecule: long non-coding RNA, 1261 nt
Organism: Beta vulgaris subsp. vulgaris (sugar beet)
Lineage: Eukaryota; Viridiplantae; Streptophyta; Magnoliopsida; Caryophyllales; Amaranthaceae
Exons: 2
Source: RefSeq, a predicted model, not a curated record